GUGUCUUUAUUUAGAGACAGGGAGUCAAUGCUGAGACCAAGGUGUCUUUAUUUAGAGACAGGGAGUCAAUGCUGAGACCAAGGUGUCUUUAUUUAGAGACAGGGAGUCAAUGCUGAGACCAAGGUGUCUUUAUUUAGAGACAGGGAGUCAAUGUUGAGACCAAGGUGUCUUUAUUUAGAGACAGGGAGUCAAUGCUGAGACCAAGGUGUCUUUAUUUAGAGACAGGGAGUCAAUGCUGAGACCAAGGUGUCUUUAUUGAGACAGGGAGAGGUAGAGGUCAUGUGAUGUAAUUACACAGGCCGAUGCUGCAGGGAUGUAGAGGUCAUGUGAUGUAAUUACACAGGCCGAUGCUGCAGGGAUGUAAUGAGGUGAUGUAAUUACACAGGCCGAUGCUGCAGGGAUGUAGAGGUCAUGUGGUGUAAUUACACAGGCCGAUGCUGCAGGGAUGUAGAGGUCAUUUGAAGCAGCCUUUCUUCCAUCGCGUGUUUGGAACAAUGACAAAGACAUCGGCAACUUUGUAUUCUGUCGUCAACUCCGCUCUGAAGUGACCUGGCGGGCACCGUCAGGCAGAGAUCAACAUCUUGAUGUAUGUUCAGUGAGAUCUGAGUUUACAGUGUAC
Molecule: long non-coding RNA, 619 nt
Organism: Oncorhynchus tshawytscha (Chinook salmon)
Lineage: Eukaryota; Metazoa; Chordata; Actinopteri; Salmoniformes; Salmonidae
Source: Ensembl